Molecule: ribosomal RNA, 489 nt
Filed under: Triticum aestivum (bread wheat)
Lineage: Eukaryota; Viridiplantae; Streptophyta; Magnoliopsida; Poales; Poaceae
Description: partial small subunit ribosomal RNA
Source: RNAcentral
AUGAGAGGGAAAAGAAUACUUUAUACACAUUGUCAUAAGGCAAGCAUUGGAACCUCCCAGGCAUACAGGCUCAUGCAAGUUAGCGAGGGUGGAAUUCCGAAUGUUGGGUGCACAAAGAGGGACUUGCAAAAUUACUAUCGCGGACUCAGGUAUAAAAUCAGAGACGCAUAUGCUCAAAUGUUUGUGGCCCAAUUAGCUAGAAAACAGGAAGUGAAUUCAACAUUUUUCUAUGAUUUUGAGGUGAAUGAUGAGGGGAACCUGGUGCGUGUGUUCUGGGCGGAUGCCACAAGUAGGAAGAACUAUAGUCACUUUGGUGAUGUGAUAUCCUUCGAUUCUACAUACACCACUAAUCAGUACAACAUGAUAUUUACACCAUUUACAGGGGUUAAUCAUCACUUACAAAGUGUCUUUUUUGGUGCUGGAUUCUUAUCAAAUGAGAAGGAUGAGUCAUACAUUUGGUUAUUUCAGACCUUCCUAAAAGCAAUGUGA